GAUGAACGCUGGCGGCGUGCCUAAUACAUGCAAGUCGAGCGAACGGACGAGAAUCUUGCUUCUCUGAUGUUAGCGGCGGACGGGUGAGUAACACGUGGAUAACCUACCUAUAAGACUGGGAUAACUUCGGGAAACCGGAGCUAAUACCGGAUAAUAUUUUGAACCGCAUGGUUCAAAAGUGAAAGACGGUCUUGCUGUCACUUAUAGAUGGAUCCUCGCUGCAUUAGCUAGUUGGUAAGUUAACGGCUUACCAAGGCAACGAUGCAUAGCCGACCUGAGAGGGUGAUCGGCCACACUGGAACUGAGACACGGUCCAGCCUCCUACGGGAGGCAGCAGUAGGGAAUCUUCCGCAAUGGGCGAAAGCCUGACGGAGCAACGCCGCGUGAGUGAUGAAGGUCUUCGGAUCGUAAAACUCUGUUAUUAGGGAAGAACAUAUGUGUAAGUAACUGUGCACAUCUUGACGGUACCUAAUCAGAAAGCCCCGGCUAACUACGUG
This 497-nucleotide ribosomal RNA is filed under the name uncultured bacterium. RNAcentral's name for it is "partial 16S ribosomal RNA". It matches the Rfam family "Bacterial small subunit ribosomal RNA", at positions 28 to 507 of the family's 1533-position model. The record is from RNAcentral.